Molecule: ribosomal RNA, 496 nt
Filed under: uncultured bacterium
Lineage: Bacteria
Description: partial 16S ribosomal RNA
Rfam family: Bacterial small subunit ribosomal RNA
Source: RNAcentral
GAUGAACGCUGGCGGCGUGCCUAAUACAUGCAAGUCGAGCGAACGGACGAGAAGCUUGCUUUUCUGAUGUUAGCGGCGGACGGGUGAGUAACACGUGGAUAACCUACCUAUAAGACUGGGAUAACUUCGGGAAACCGGAGCUAAUACCGGAUAAUAUUUUGAACCGCAUGGUUCAUAAGUGAAAGACGGUCUUGCUGUCACUUAUAGAUGGAUCCGCGCUGCAUUAGCUAGUUGGUAAGGUAACGGCUUACCAAGGCAACGAUGCAUAGCCGACCUGAGAGGGGAAGCGGCCACACUGGAACUGAGACACGGUCCAGACCCCGACGGGGGGCAGGAGGAGGGAAUCUUCCGCAAUGGGCGAAAGCCUGACGGAGCACCGCCGGGGGAGUGAUGAAGGUCUGCGGAUUGUAAACCCCUUUUAUUAGGGAAAAACAUAUGUGUAAGUAACUGUGCACAUCUUGACGGUACCUAAACAGAAAGCCCCGGCGAAAUACGG